RNAcentral lists this long non-coding RNA (388 nucleotides) under Nicotiana tabacum (common tobacco). RNAcentral's name for it is "long non-coding RNA (NTAB_LNC004048)". Lineage: Eukaryota; Viridiplantae; Streptophyta; Magnoliopsida; Solanales; Solanaceae. The record is from RNAcentral.
GCAGCUCUGCAAAGAAGUGAUUGGCUUUGACUAUGCAUCUCAUACCAUUGCUCCCCUUCCCUGGACGCAGGGGAAACCGUAGUGAUUUGCUUGAUGCAGGUGGAACUGCUUGCGUUGGAGCCGCUUCUUGCUGCAAAGCAAGUUGCUGGAACUGUUGUGUCACUUGUAGAGCUGCCUGCUCAGGUGGCUGAGAUGAGGAACCAGCUUCAGAGGAUGUUUCAGUUGGUCUUACAUAAGGUAUAGGCUGAGUAGUCAUUGCAGCUUGAUAUGGAGUCUGGGAGGUAGCUUGGUGCAGCUCGGGUGCUGGUGGCCUAGAAGGCCCACCAGAAGGUGCCCCACGGCCACCUAUGCCACCAUGUUGCUGGGGUGGUCCUCCGCCUCGUUGAUG